Xiphophorus couchianus (Monterrey platyfish) is the source of this 2844-nucleotide RNA transcript. It is a transcript of the gene named calphotin-like, with no coding region annotated. Lineage: Eukaryota; Metazoa; Chordata; Actinopteri; Cyprinodontiformes; Poeciliidae. The record is from RefSeq and is a predicted model, not a curated record. The transcript is spliced from 8 exons.
CACUACGCAAAACGCCCUCUUGUGCUGCGGUGGCCAGGGGAAGAGUUUCUCAAAUAUGCACGGCCGUUAAAAGCAUGGUUAAAAGAUUUAGAGUGGAAAAUAAAAGAUACAUAGUGGAGCGGGGAGGAGUAGACUGUAGGGGGCGUAUCCUGUAGUGUUUUCUAUAGACAUAAUACAGUGUUUUCUAGUUGGCUGCACCAGUCUCUUCUGGAGCAGAGUGAGGGCUUUAAGGGGCGUGGUGUGUUUUGUUACAUAAAGGAGCGCUGACCGAGCUGCGUUGAUUUAGUGGAACAAACUGUUCACAUUCCUCGUCUUUCUUCACAAGGUUGUUAAAACAUGUCGACCUCCCUGUUAAGGAUCGGACACCUGCGAUGUGUCAAUAAGUGCUUGCAGACUCAGAGUUGGAAUAUACUGAGCAGAGCACCUACAGCUUUGACAUUUAGCACAAAAUCAUCAGGAUCCAAAAAUUCAUCAAAAAAGACCAGCAAAGACAAAAACAAGCCUAAAACAUACUUCAACAUAGAAAAACUUGUUCAACACAAGCCAUGCAACUUCCCUAAGAAAGAAGUUUCUCCAACUGCUUCUGCAGUAACUGAAGCUGCACAGGAAGCCAUAGCUUCUGUAGCAACAAAGCGCACGUCCCCUGCUGCUUCAGCUGAAACUAUUGCAACCACUUAUGACAUAACAAUUCAACCAGUGACAACAUCCUUUGUUAAAAAAGUACCCUCCAAAAUAACAACUGCUGAAUCUAUUGUUGAAGUUUUUCCUGAAGAUUUUCCAGGAGAAGAUGCCCUAAUUUUAGAGGCCUCCAAAGUGGCUGCUGAGCCUGCAGUUGAUGUGCCACAAAUCCCUAUGCAUCCUGCUCCUGCCUCUGUAGAAUCGGCUCCUGAUCCAUUUGUGCUGGUAGAUGGGGCCCUGAACCUAGUUCAUGAAGCUGUGCCAAAUAAGGGAUCCAUGGAGCCUGUGGAAGAAACACUUCCUGCAGAAGGGUCACUAAAGUCUGUGGUGGAAGGGGCUCAUGCGGAGGCAUUACUGGAGCCUUUGACAGAAGCACCCCCCGAGGAGGUGUCACUGGAGCCUGUGGUGAAAGUGGCUCCUGUGGAGGUCUCACUGGAACAUGUGGUGGAAGCAGCCCCCGAGGAGGCGUCCCUGGAGCCUGUGGUGGAAGCAGCUCCCACAGAGCCAUCUCCAAAACUUGCAAUGGAAGUGACACUGACAACUGUGUCAGGUGGGGUCCCUGAAACUCUAACUGCAGACCUUCAAGCAUCCCCGGAGCCUGUGGCAAAAGCAGUCCCUGAGCCUGUGGCAGAAGCAACUCCUUCAGAACCGGACCCUGCAGAGUCCAUGCCAGGGCCUGAAGCAGAGGUGGUGCUGGAGCCUGUGGCAGAAAUUACUGAUGCUACAGAUGUAGUUCCUGGCUCUGAGGAUCUUGUGAACCCUGCCUGGGUCCUUUCCAAGGCUGCUGAAGAAGAGCUACAGAUGGAUUCCCCUGCUGAAACAGUUGGACCAUCACAGGCUCAUAUGGACCCAGUGCAGAGGCUAUUCUUGGACUCUAUACGAGAAUAUUCAACAAAUUCCCAAGCAGCUGGUGGUCUGGUUGAUGCUGGCUCACAGUAUCAAAAAGUUUUGGAAGAGGAGAUAGCAAAGCUACAGAGACUUUAUGGUGGUGGAGACCUAACCAGUUUUCCUAAUUUCAAAUUUACAGCCGAUCUGCCCCAGAUUUUUUGUGCAUCAUCAGGAAGCACUGCCGAACACAGCAAUGCAUAUUGCCUAGCAGACGGGUGCAGGAACUGAGCAAGAGUGUCGACAGUGGUGAGCGGGUGGCGUUUCUGGACCACCCGCAGUCACAAUAAGAACCCCAGUGGAAUGAAGUUUCCCAGAAGUGAACCAUCAGCACUUCUGCUUAACCUUUACAACUUUGUGCACAGGAACAUGAAUUUGUGUGAUUGUCAAGCAAAUGAACCUCUACCUGUUGCUUAUAUGUGAAGAUAAAACAUUGGAUUUGUAGAAACUGUAGAUUUCGUGCCUGCAGAAGAUAAGGUUUUGCAUUUUUUCCAUGACGUUUGACAGAGUGAUCUUAGAGAUGCAAAUUAGGUUGUCUGAAUCUAAAUCUUUAGAUUUAGAGACAACCUAAUAAUGUGACUUCUGUUGUCUCCUUUUUCAUUCCUCUCAAGAAUUUUUCAACUGUAUGUAGCAAAGAGAUGUUCAUUUAAAAAUAGCAUGGAACUCAAAUAAGUUGUCUGAUUUUUUGCUUCUAUGUUUCCCCAUCCUUAAAGACCAAAACAUGAGGAACUUCAUAUAAUACAAAACAGAUGUUAUCUUAUGGACAUUAGUGCUGUUUGGCUGCUAAAAGCAAGCAUAAUUAUUGCAGUACUUAUAGAAUAAUUACAACAAUUUAACUAGGGCUUCACUCUUUCCAGAGAGAGAGAGACAAUUUGGUACUAUAUCUAUAUCAGUUACAUAAAUCAUGAGUGUUCAUUUUCCAACACUUUGAGAAUUCUCUAAGUAGUUCAAUUUAAAUGUCCACCAAAGAAGGAAGAGGAAGACAGCCAAUGAUCCUCUAAGCUGCCUUUACGGUCCUCUGGAGCCUCACCCUGUCUGUAACAGAACAGCUGCUAUACUGUACUGUGAUGCGGUAUGUCAGCACGCUCUAUGGAUGAGUGGUAGAAGGUCAACAGCAGCUUGAAAAAUUUUAUGUUGAGCUUGUUCUAAAUAUUGUGAUUGAUAAAUAAGACCUCAGGUAAGACCUUAAGUUCUCAGGUUGCUCCUGAGAACCAUAGAUUGAAAUUGAAUGGUUUGCAGUAAUCUGACAGGUUUAUUACAAUAAAACAAGACAAAAACAUA